UAGUCUUUUUUGUCUAAUCUGAACCAC
RNAcentral lists this non-coding RNA (27 nucleotides) under Rattus norvegicus (Norway rat). The record is from RNAcentral. Lineage: Eukaryota; Metazoa; Chordata; Mammalia; Rodentia; Muridae.